GGCUGAAUGGUGUAGCGGUAUCACGCAUCGUUCACACCGAUGAGGUCCUGGGUUCGACCCCCAGUUUAGUCA
Molecule: transfer RNA, 72 nt
Filed under: Talaromyces pinophilus
Lineage: Eukaryota; Fungi; Ascomycota; Eurotiomycetes; Eurotiales; Trichocomaceae
Also listed under: 2 other names
Description: tRNA-Val (CAC) (tRNA-Val-CAC-1-1)
Rfam family: tRNA
About the family: Transfer RNA (tRNA) molecules are approximately 80 nucleotides in length.
Source: RNAcentral